Molecule: ribosomal RNA, 254 nt
Filed under: uncultured bacterium
Lineage: Bacteria
Description: partial 16S ribosomal RNA
Rfam family: Bacterial small subunit ribosomal RNA
Source: RNAcentral
CUUUCUUUGCUGGCGACCGGCGCACGGGUGAGUAACACGUAUCCAACCUGCCCUUUACUCGGGGAUAGCCUUUCGAAAGAAAGAUUAAUACCCGAUAGCAUAAUGAUUCCGCAUGGUUUCAUUAUUAAAGGAUUCCGGUAAAGGAUGGGGAUGCGUUCCAUUAGGUUGUUGGUGAGGUAACGGCCCACCAAGCCUUCGAUGGAUAGGGGUUCUGAGAGGGAGGUCCCCCACAUUGGAACUGAGACACGGUCCAA